Molecule: unclassified non-coding RNA, 277 nt
Filed under: Hevea brasiliensis (rubber tree)
Lineage: Eukaryota; Viridiplantae; Streptophyta; Magnoliopsida; Malpighiales; Euphorbiaceae
Source: RNAcentral
GCAACACCAUAUAGGGGAUCCACCAAGAAAUGAACUUGGUUCUUCACAGUAGCUGCAGAAAUAAGAUUCAUCAGGUUGAUCAGCUACCUCUGUCCAGCGCACAGCCCACUGAUGUACCACAUGCGGAUAUCCAAACAUAGAUGCACAUUUACAAUCCUUGUGAGCGCUCGAUGAGCAACUCAGAUGAGCUGCUGCACCACAUAUGCUGCAACGAUUAAAAAAUCUUUCUGAAGCAACAAUUGGACCAAGAGUCUGAGAUGGAGAAAUGGACUUCAAA